GGACCGAUAGCUCAGUGGUAGAGGUAAGGAUACCCAUCCCGAGGUCGCGCGUUCGAUCCGCGCUCGGUCCU
Molecule: non-coding RNA, 71 nt
Organism: Durotheca rogersii
Lineage: Eukaryota; Fungi; Ascomycota; Sordariomycetes; Xylariales; Xylariaceae
Source: the annotation of a RefSeq genome assembly